This 61-nucleotide transfer RNA is filed under the name human gut metagenome. It matches the Rfam family "tRNA", at positions 7 to 64 of the family's 71-position model. From Rfam's summary of the family: Transfer RNA (tRNA) molecules are approximately 80 nucleotides in length. Their secondary structure includes four short double-helical elements and three loops (D, anti-codon, and T loops). Further hydrogen bonds mediate the characteristic L-shaped molecular structure. tRNAs have two regions of fundamental functional importance: the anti-codon, which is responsible for specific mRNA codon recognition, and the 3' end, to which the tRNAs corresponding amino acid is attached (by aminoacyl-tRNA synthetases). tRNAs cope with the degeneracy of the genetic code in two manners: having more than one tRNA (with a specific anti-codon) for a particular amino acid; and 'wobble' base-pairing, i.e. permitting non-standard base-pairing at the 3rd anti-codon position. The record is from RNAcentral.
GUUAGCUCAGUUGGUAGAGCACUUGACUUUUAAUCAAGGGGCCAUAAGUUCGAAUCUUAUA